Molecule: transfer RNA, 77 nt
Filed under: Gemmatimonadota bacterium
Lineage: Bacteria; Pseudomonadati; Gemmatimonadota
Description: Gemmatimonadetes bacterium tRNA-Met
Rfam family: tRNA
About the family: Transfer RNA (tRNA) molecules are approximately 80 nucleotides in length.
Source: RNAcentral
GGCGGGUUGGAGAAGUUAGGUAUCUCGUCUGGCUCAUGACCAGAAGAUCCCCCGUUCGAAUCGGGGACCCGCUACCA